UACAGGGGGUGCAAACGUUUGCUCGGAAUCAUUGGGCGUAAAGCGCACGUAGGCGGUUCGUUAUGUCGGAUGUGAAAGCCCUUGGCUUAACCGAGGAAGUGCAUCCGAAACUGGCGAGCUAGAAUCUUGGAGAGGCGAGUGGAAUUCCGAGUGUAGAGGUGAAAUUCGUAGAUAUUCGGAAGAACACCAGUGGCGAAGGCGACUCGCUGGACAAGUAUUGACGCUGAGGUGGCGAAAAGCGUGGGAGCAAACAGG
Molecule: ribosomal RNA, 255 nt
Filed under: uncultured bacterium
Lineage: Bacteria
Description: partial 16S ribosomal RNA
Rfam family: Bacterial small subunit ribosomal RNA
Source: RNAcentral